This 248-nucleotide ribosomal RNA is filed under the name uncultured bacterium. RNAcentral describes it as "partial 16S ribosomal RNA". It matches the Rfam family "Bacterial small subunit ribosomal RNA", at positions 88 to 334 of the family's 1533-position model. The record is from RNAcentral.
UGGAUGAGUGGCGAACGGGUGAGUAACACGUGAGUAACCUGCCCUCUUCUUUGGGAUAACGCCCGGAAACGGGUGCUAAUACUGGAUAUUCACUGAUCUUCGCAUGGGGGUUGGUGGAAAGGUUUUUUCUGGUGGGGGGUGGGCUCGCGGCCUAUCAGCUUGUUGGUGGGGUGAUGGCCUACCAAGGCUUUGACGGGUAGCCGGCCUGAGAGGGUGACCGGUCACAUUGGGACUGAGAUACGGCCCAG